UGCCACUCAGGGUCGCACCUGGAGAGUUUCCAGUACUUUACCAGUCUCAACUAUGGGAGGGAGAGCCAAGCAGAGGAAUACACAUUUCAUUCCUAGCUUGGUCAGUGGCUAGAGAGUGGAAGGCCAUCUGCUACGAGU
Molecule: small nucleolar RNA, 138 nt
Organism: Ornithorhynchus anatinus (platypus)
Lineage: Eukaryota; Metazoa; Chordata; Mammalia; Monotremata; Ornithorhynchidae
Source: RefSeq, a predicted model, not a curated record